GGAAAUUAUGUCUCUCCACUCAAAGGUUGAUCUUGUUGUAACUCUCGGUGGGGAUGGAACCGUCCUUUGGGCAGCUUCAAUGUUCAAAGGUCCAGUUCCUCCGGUUGUUCCAUUUUCUUUAGGUUCUCUUGGCUUCAUGACCCCGUUUUAUAGUGAGCGUUACAAGGAAUAUCUCGAUUCAAUUCUUCGUGGUCCCAUAAGCAUUACACUGAGGCAUCGUCUCCAG
This 226-nucleotide unclassified non-coding RNA is filed under the name Hevea brasiliensis (rubber tree). The record is from RNAcentral. Lineage: Eukaryota; Viridiplantae; Streptophyta; Magnoliopsida; Malpighiales; Euphorbiaceae.